AUUGAACGCUGGCGGCAGGCCUAACACAUGCAAGUCGAUCGGUAACAGGAAGAAGCUUGCUUCUUUGCUGACGAGUGGCGGACGGGUGAGUAAUGUCUGGGAAACUGCCUGAUGGAGGGGGAUAACUACUGGAAACGGUAGCUAAUACCGCAUAACGUCGCAAGACCAAAGAGGGGGACCUUCGGGCCUCUUGCCAUCGGAUGUGCCCAGAUGGGAUUAGCUAGUAGGUGGGGUAACGGCUCACCUAGGCGACGAUCCCUAGCUGGUCUGAGAGGAUGACCAGCCACACUGGAACUGAGACACGGUCCAGACUCCUACGGGAGGCAGCAGUGGGGAAUAUUGCACAAUGGGCGCAAGCCUGAUGCAGCCAUGCCGCGUGUAUGAAGAAGGCCUUCGGGUUGUAAAGUACUUUCAGCGGGGAGGAAGGGAGUAAAGUUAAUACCUUGGCUCAUUGACGUUACCCGCAGAAGAAGCACCGGCUAACUCCGUG
RNAcentral lists this ribosomal RNA (490 nucleotides) under uncultured bacterium. Its description in RNAcentral is "partial 16S ribosomal RNA". It matches the Rfam family "Bacterial small subunit ribosomal RNA", at positions 30 to 507 of the family's 1533-position model. The record is from RNAcentral.